Molecule: long non-coding RNA, 219 nt
Filed under: Gallus gallus (chicken)
Lineage: Eukaryota; Metazoa; Chordata; Aves; Galliformes; Phasianidae
Source: RNAcentral
UGAUGACGAGCAAUCCUGCAAAGCACAGUUCAUCAUUCGUACUAUGUAGUCAAACUGCUGAUGGUCCAGUAUCGCUCGAUUUUGUUUAACAUGCAGGCCUAAUUCCUGUGUCAGGCAGUGUCGGGCUGCCUUUCCUUUUAGGGCUCUCAGAGCUGCAGGCAAGGUCUUUUCAGUCUCCAAAAAUUUAUUUUCAAAAAUGAAUGAGAUGCAGUUUCUAAC